CUUCGAACCAGGAGGGUAAUCAUGAUCUCCACUAGCUCCGGCGACCUCUAUCCCUUCUUCAGCAAUAACAAGACUUGGAGCACCACCCUCUCCGCCACCACCUCCAACACCGACGUAUGGCAUCGCCGGCUUGGUCACCCCGGCCCUCAAGUUACUUCUUCCUUAGCAACCCAUGAUUUCCUUCCCUCUUGUAAUAAGAUUGCGCAUACACCAUGUAAUGCUUGUCAACUUGGACGGCAGCCGCACCUACCUUUCCCUACUUCACAUAGUCGCACCUUUGCUCUAUUUGAUUUAAUCCAUUGUGAUUUAUGGACCAGCCCCGUUGUAAGCUUUUCCUGCUAUCAAUAUUACUUGAUUGUGCUUGAUGAUUACACUCACUUCUCAUGGUCAUUUCCUCUUUGCAACAAGUCGGACACAUCGCUUACUCCCCAAUGCUUUUUCCCUUACGUUCGUACUCAAUACAAUGUGAUCAUCAAAGCCUUAUAG
RNAcentral lists this ribosomal RNA (486 nucleotides) under Triticum aestivum (bread wheat). RNAcentral's name for it is "partial small subunit ribosomal RNA". The record is from RNAcentral. Lineage: Eukaryota; Viridiplantae; Streptophyta; Magnoliopsida; Poales; Poaceae.